UACGUAGGGAGCAAGCGUUGUUCGGAUUUACUGGGCGUAAAGGGCUCGUAGGCGGCCAACUAAGUCGGAUGUGAAAUCCCCAGGCUUAACCUGGGAACUGCAUCCGAUACUGGAUGGCUUGAAUCCGGGAGAGGGAUGCAGAAUUCCAGGUGUAGCGGUGAAAUGCGUAGAUAUCUGGAGGAAUACCGGUGGCGAAGGCGGCAUCCUGGACCGGCAUUGACGCUGAGUGAGCGAAAGCCAGGGGAGCAAACGGG
This 254-nucleotide ribosomal RNA is filed under the name uncultured bacterium. Its description in RNAcentral is "partial 16S ribosomal RNA". It matches the Rfam family "Bacterial small subunit ribosomal RNA", at positions 524 to 776 of the family's 1533-position model. The record is from RNAcentral.